This 22-nucleotide transfer RNA is filed under the name Dichelyma capillaceum. RNAcentral describes it as "partial transfer RNA-Phe". Lineage: Eukaryota; Viridiplantae; Streptophyta; Bryopsida; Hypnales; Fontinalaceae. The record is from RNAcentral.
UAAAAAAAGCCGGAAUAGCUCA